RNAcentral lists this ribosomal RNA (451 nucleotides) under uncultured bacterium. Its description in RNAcentral is "SSU rRNA". It matches the Rfam family "Bacterial small subunit ribosomal RNA", at positions 26 to 518 of the family's 1533-position model. The record is from RNAcentral.
AGGAUAAACGCUGGCGGCGUGCCUAACACAUGCAAGUCGAACGUCCUACGCAAGUAGGGAGUGGCGGACGGGUGAGUAACACGUGGGCAAUCUACCUUUCGGUGAGGAAUACCGGCGAGAAAUCGCCGACAAUACCGCAUACGCUUCGCAAGAAGCAAAGUCGCAAGACGCCGGAGGAGGAGCCUGCGCCCGAUUAGCUCGUUGGUGGAGUAAUGGUCUACCAAGGCGACGAUCGGUAGCUGGUCUGAGAGGAUGAUCAGCCACACUGGGAUUGAGAACGGCCCAGACUCCUACGGGGGGCAGCAGUGGGGAAUAUUGGACAAUGGGCGAAAGCCUGAUCCAGCCAUGCCGCGUGAGUGAUGACGGCCUUAGGGUUGUAAAGCUCUUUCGUCAGGGACGAUAAUGACGGUACCUGAAGAAGAAGCCCGGCUAACUUCGUGCCAGCAGCCGC